UGGGGAAUAUUGCACAAUGGGCGCAAGCCUGAUGCAGCCAUGCCGCGUGUAUGAAGAAGGCCUUCGGGUUGUAAAGUACUUUCAGUCGGGAGGAAGGUGGUAAGGUUAAUAACCUUAUCAAUUGACGUUACCGACAGAAGAAGCACCGGCUAACUCCGUGCCAGCAGCCGCGGUAAUACGGAGGGUGCAAGCGUUAAUCGGAAUUACUGGGCGUAAAGCGCACGCAGGCGGUUGAUUGAGUCAGAUGUGAAAUCCCCGGGCUUAACCCGGGAAUUGCAUCUGAUACUGGUCAGCUAGAGUCUUGUAGAGGGGGGUAGAAUUCCAUGUGUAGCGGUGAAAUGCGUAGAGAUGUGGAGGAAUACCGGUGGCGCAGGCGGCCCCCUGGACAAAGACUGACGCUCAGGUGCGAAAGCGUGGGGAGCAAACAGG
Molecule: ribosomal RNA, 429 nt
Filed under: Chloroflexota bacterium
Lineage: Bacteria; Bacillati; Chloroflexota
Description: Chloroflexi bacterium partial 16S ribosomal RNA
Rfam family: Bacterial small subunit ribosomal RNA
Source: RNAcentral